This 497-nucleotide ribosomal RNA is filed under the name uncultured bacterium. RNAcentral describes it as "partial 16S ribosomal RNA". It matches the Rfam family "Bacterial small subunit ribosomal RNA", at positions 28 to 507 of the family's 1533-position model. The record is from RNAcentral.
GACGAACGCUGGCGGCGUGCCUAAUACAUGCAAGUUGAGCGCUGAAGGUUGGUACUUGUACCAACUGGAUGAGCAGCGAACGGGUGAGUAACGCGUGGGGAAUCUGCCUUUGAGCGGGGGACAACAUUUGGAAACGAAUGCUAAUACCGCAUAAAAACUUUAAACACAAGUUUUAAGUUUGAAAGAUGCAAUUGCAUCACUCAAAGAUGAUCCCGCGUUGUAUUAGCUAGUUGGUGAGGUAAAGGCUCACCAAGGCGAUGAUACAUAGCCGACCUGAGAGGGUGAUCGGCCACAUUGGGACUGAGACACGGCCCAAACUCCUACGGGAGGCAGCAGUAGGGAAUCUUCGGCAAUGGACGAAAGUCUGACCGAGCAACGCCGCGUGAGUGAAGAAGGUUUUCGGAUCGUAAAACUCUGUUGGUAGAGAAGAACGUUUGUGAGAGUGGAAAGCUCAUCAAGUGACGGUAACUACCCAGAAAGGGACGGCUAACUACGUG